AACACAUGCAAGUCGAACGGAAAGGCCCUGCUUUUGUGGGGUGCUCAAGUGGCGAACGGGUGAGUAACACGUGAGUAACCUGCCCUUGACUUUGGGAUAACUUCAGGAAACUGGGGCUAAUACCGGAUAGGAGCUCCUGCUGCAUGGUGGGGGUUGGAAAGUUUCGGCGGUUGGGGAUGGACUCGCGGCUUAUUAGCUUGUUGGUGGGGUAGUGGCUUACCAAGGCUUUGACGGGUAGCCGGCCUGAGAGGGUGACCAGCCACAUUGGGACUGAGAUACGGCCCAGACUCCUACGGGAGGCAGCAGUGGGGAAUAUUGCACAAUGGGCGGAAGCCUGAUGCAGCAACGCCGCGUGCGGGAUGACGGCCUUCGGGUUGUAAACCGCUUUCGCCUGUGACGAAGCGUGAGUGACGGUAAUGGGUAAAGAAGCACCGGCUAACUACGUGCCAGCAGCCGCGGUGAUACGUAGGGUGCGAGCGUUGUCCGGAUUUAUUGGGCGUAAAGGGCUCGUAGGUGGUUGAUCGCGUCGGAAGUGUAAUCUUGGGGCUUAACCCUGAGCGUGCUUUCGAUACGGGUUGACUUGAGGAAGGUAGGGGAGAAUGGAAUUCCUGGUGGAGCGGUGGAAUGCGCAGAUAUCACGAGGAACACCAGUGGCGAAAGCGGUUCUCUGGGCCUUUCCUGACGCUGAGGAGCGAAAGCGUGGGGAGCGAACAGGCUUAGAUACCCUGGUAGUCCACGCUGUAAACGGUGGGUACUAGGUGUGGGGUCCAUUCCACGGGUUCCGUGCCGUAGCUAACGCUUUAAGUACCCCGCCUGGGGAGUACGGCCGCAAGGCUAAAACUCAAAGGAAUUGACGGGGCCCCGCACAAGCGGCGGAGCAUGCGGAUUAAUUCGAUGCAACGCGUAGAACCUUACCUGGGUUUGACAUGGAUCGGGAGUGCUCAGAGAUGGGUGUGCCUCUUUUGGGGUCGGUUCACAGGUGGUGCAUGGCUGUCGUCAGCUCGUGUCGUGAGAUGUUGGGUUAAGUCCCGCAACGAGCGCAACCCUUGUUCACUGUUGCCAGCACGUUAUGGUGGGGACUCAGUGGAGACCGCCGGGGUCAACUCGGAGGAAGGUGGGGAUGACGUCAAGUCAUCAUGCCCCUUAUGUCCAGGGCUUCACGCAUGCUACAAUGGCUGGUACAGAGAGUGGCGAGCCUGUGAGGGUGAGCGAAUCUCGGAAAGCCGGUCUCAGUUCGGAUUGGGGUCUGCAACUCGACCUCAUGAAGUCGGAGUCGCUAGUAAUCGCAGAUCAGCAACGCUGCGGUGAAUACGUUCCCGGGGCUUGUACACACCGCCCGUCAAGUCAUGAAAGUUGGUAACACCCGAAGCCGGUGGCCUAACCGUUGUGGGGGAGCCGUCGAAGGUGGGACUGGUGAUUCGGACUAAGUCGUAACAAGGU
This 1440-nucleotide ribosomal RNA is filed under the name uncultured Propionibacterium sp. RNAcentral's name for it is "16S ribosomal RNA". It matches the Rfam family "Bacterial small subunit ribosomal RNA". The record is from RNAcentral. Lineage: Bacteria; Bacillati; Actinomycetota; Actinomycetes; Propionibacteriales; Propionibacteriaceae.